UACGUAGGGUGCAAGCGUUGUCCGGAAUUACUGGGCGUAAAGGGCGCGUAGGCGGCCUGGCAAGUGGAAGGUGAAAUCCCUCGGCUUAACCGAGGAACUGCCUUCCAAACUGCUUGGCUUGAGUCCGGGAGAGGUGAGUGGAAUUCCCAGUGUAGCGGUGAAAUGCGUAGAUAUUGGGAGGAACACCAGUGGCGAAGGCGGCUCACUGGACCGGAACUGACGCUGAUGCGCGAAAGCGUGGGGAGCAAACGGG
This 253-nucleotide ribosomal RNA is filed under the name uncultured bacterium. Its description in RNAcentral is "partial 16S ribosomal RNA". It matches the Rfam family "Bacterial small subunit ribosomal RNA", at positions 524 to 776 of the family's 1533-position model. The record is from RNAcentral.